UCCCAGCAGUCCAAGUUGCAGCCAGCAUUAUUGGGUCUAAAACAUCCGUAGCUUGUUUAACAAGUUCUUUGUGAAAUCUGGCAUCUUAAGUGUCAGGCGCGCAAAGAAUACUGUUGAGCUAGAGACCGGUAGAUGUAAGGAGUACACCUAAGGUAGUGGUAAAAUACGUUAAUCUUAGGUGGACUAACAAUUGGCGAAGGCACCUUACAAGGACGGAUCUGACAGUGAGGGAUGAAGGCUAGGGGCGCAAAAC
RNAcentral lists this ribosomal RNA (253 nucleotides) under uncultured archaeon. RNAcentral describes it as "partial 16S ribosomal RNA". It matches the Rfam family "Archaeal small subunit ribosomal RNA", at positions 474 to 725 of the family's 1478-position model. The record is from RNAcentral.